CGCUGGCGGCAUGCCUAACACAUGCAAGUCGAACGAGACCUUCGGGUCUAGUGGCGCACGGGUGCGUAACGCGUGGGAAUCUGCCCUUGGGUUCGGAAUAACAGUUAGAAAUGACUGCUAAUACCGGAUAAUGUCUUCGGACCAAAGAUUUAUCGCCUUUAGAUGGGCCCGCGUAAGAUUAGCUAGUUGGUGGGGUAAAGGCCUACCAAGGCGACGAUCUUUAGCUGGUCUGAGAGGAUGAUCAGCCACACUGGGACUGAGACACGGCCCAGACUCCUACGGGAGGCAGCAGUGGGGAAUAUUGGACAAUGGGCGAAAGCCUGAUCCAGCAAUGCCGCGUGAGUGAUGAAGGCCUUAGGGUUGUAAAGCUCUUUACCCGAGAUGAUAAUGACAGUAUCGGGAGAAUAAGCUCCGGCUAACUCCGUG
This 426-nucleotide ribosomal RNA is filed under the name uncultured bacterium. Its description in RNAcentral is "bacterial SSU rRNA". It matches the Rfam family "Bacterial small subunit ribosomal RNA", at positions 34 to 507 of the family's 1533-position model. The record is from RNAcentral.